RNAcentral lists this ribosomal RNA (253 nucleotides) under uncultured bacterium. RNAcentral's name for it is "partial 16S ribosomal RNA". It matches the Rfam family "Bacterial small subunit ribosomal RNA", at positions 524 to 776 of the family's 1533-position model. The record is from RNAcentral.
GACAGAGGUGGCAAGCGUUGUUCGGAUUCAUUGGGUGUAAAGGGUCCGUAGGUGGUCGGGUAAGUCUGAUGUGAAAUCCCAUGGCUCAACCGUGGAACGGCAUUGGAAACUGCUCGACUUGAGUGCCGCAGAGGUGAAGGGAAUUCCCGGUGUAAGGGUGAAAUCUGUAGAUAUCGGGAGGAACACCAUUGGCGAAAGCGCUUCACUGGGCGGUUGCUGACACUGAGGGACGAAAGCAAGGGGAGCAAACAGG